RNAcentral lists this microRNA precursor (174 nucleotides) under Orobanche cernua var. cumana. Its description in RNAcentral is "miR166b". The stretch from base 13 to 160 matches the Rfam family "mir-166 microRNA precursor family". Rfam says of the family: This family represents the plant microRNA (miRNA) precursor mir-166. Animal miRNAs are transcribed as ~70nt precursors and subsequently processed by the Dicer enzyme to give a ~22nt product. Lineage: Eukaryota; Viridiplantae; Streptophyta; Magnoliopsida; Lamiales; Orobanchaceae. The record is from RNAcentral.
GGGGGCUUAUUUUUUGAGGGGAAUGUUGUCUGGCUCGAGGACUUCUGCUCGAAGAAGAUGAUGAUGAUGAUCUUGUUUCGAUUUUCAUCAUUAAUCUUCUUACAACAGCAGAUCUCUGUUGGUAGCUAGUGUCGUCGGACCAGGCUUCAUUCCCCCCAAUUAUAUAUUGCUCCG